AGUGAACGCUGGCGGCAGGCCUAACACAUGCAAGUCGAACGGCAGCACGGUAAGAGCUUGCUCUUACGGGUGGCGAGUGGCGGACGGGUGAGGCAUACAUCGGAAUCUACUUUUUCGGGGGGGAUAACGUAGGGAAACUUACGCUAAUACCGCAUACGACGUACGGGAGAAAGCAGGGGAUAUUCGCACCUUGCGCGAUUGAAUGAGACGAUGUCGGAUUAGCUAGUUGGUGGGGUAAAGGCCCACCAAGGCGACGAUCCGUAGCUGGUCUGAGAGGAUGAUCAGCCACACUGGAACUGAGACACGGUCCAGACUCCUACGGGAGGCAGCAGUGGGGAAUAUUGGACAAUGGGCGCAAGCCUGAUCCAGCCAUGCCGCGUGGGUGAAGAAGGCCUUCGGGUUGUAAAGCCCUUUUGUUGGGAAAGAAAAGCAGCAGGUUAAUACCCCGCUGUUCUGACGGUACCCAAAGAAUAAGCACCGGCUAACUUCGUG
This 492-nucleotide ribosomal RNA is filed under the name uncultured bacterium. RNAcentral describes it as "partial 16S ribosomal RNA". It matches the Rfam family "Bacterial small subunit ribosomal RNA", at positions 29 to 507 of the family's 1533-position model. The record is from RNAcentral.